RNAcentral lists this ribosomal RNA (245 nucleotides) under uncultured bacterium. RNAcentral describes it as "partial small subunit ribosomal RNA". It matches the Rfam family "Bacterial small subunit ribosomal RNA", at positions 26 to 285 of the family's 1533-position model. The record is from RNAcentral.
AGAAUCAACGCUGGCGGCGUGCCUAACACAUGCAAGUCGCACGAGAAAGUGGAGCAAUCCAUGAGUAAAGUGGCGCACGGGUGAGUAACACGUGACUAACCUACCUUCGAGUGUGGAAUAACUGAGAGAAAUCUUAGCUAAUACCGCAUAACACUUACGAGUCAAAGCAGCAAUGCGCUUGGAGAGGAGUUCGCGGCAGAUUAGUUAGUUGGCGGGGUAAUGGCCCACCAAGACGAUGAUCUGUA